Molecule: ribosomal RNA, 494 nt
Filed under: uncultured Actinomycetes bacterium
Lineage: Bacteria; Bacillati; Actinomycetota; Actinomycetes
Description: bacterial SSU rRNA
Rfam family: Bacterial small subunit ribosomal RNA
Source: RNAcentral
UGGGGAAUAUUGCACAAUGGGCGCAAGCCUGAUGCAGCGACGCCGCGUGGGGGAUGACGGCCUUCGGGUUGUAAACCUCUUUCAAUAGGGACGAAGCGCAAGUGACGGUACCUAUAGAAGAAGCACCGGCCAACUACGUGCCAGCAGCCGCGGUAAUACGUAGGGUGCGAGCGUUGUCCGGAAUUACUGGGCGUAAAGAGCUCGUAGGUGGUUUGUCGCGUUGUUCGUGAAAACCGGGGGCUUAACCCUCGGCGUGCGGGCGAUACGGGCAGACUGGAGUACUGCAGGGGAGACUGGAAUUCCUGGUGUAGCGGUGGAAUGCGCAGAUAUCAGGAGGAACACCGGUGGCGAAGGCGGGUCUCUGGGCAGUAACUGACGCUGAGGAGCGAAAGCGUGGGGAGCGAACAGGAUUAGAUACCCUGGUAGUCCACGCCGGUAAAACGGUGGGUACUAGGUGUGGGUUUACCUUCCUUGGGAUCCGUGCCGUAGCUAAC